AGUGAACGCUGGCGGUAGGCCUAACACAUGCAAGUCGAACGGCAGCACAGUAAGAGCUUGCUCUUACGGGUGGCGAGUGGCGGACGGGUGAGGAAUACAUCGGAAUCUACUUUUUCGUGGGGGAUAACGUAGGGAAACUUACGCUAAUACCGCAUACGACCUACGGGUGAAAGCAGGGGAUCUUCGGACCUUGCGCGAUUGAAUGAGCCGAUGUCGGAUUAGCUAGUUGUCGGGGUAAAGGCCCACCAAGGCGACGAUCCGUAGCUGGUCUGAGAGGGUGAUCAGCCACACUGGAACUGAGACACGGCCCAGACUCCUACGGGAGGCAGCAGUGGGGAAUAUUGGACAAUGGGCGCAAGCCUGAUCCAGCCAUACCGCGUGGGUGAAGAAGGCCUUCGGGUUGUAAAGCCCUUUUGUUGGGAAAGAAAAGCAGCAGGUUAAUACCCCGCUGUUCUGACGGUACCCAAAGAAUAAGCACCGGCUAACUUCGUG
This 492-nucleotide ribosomal RNA is filed under the name uncultured bacterium. Its description in RNAcentral is "partial 16S ribosomal RNA". It matches the Rfam family "Bacterial small subunit ribosomal RNA", at positions 29 to 507 of the family's 1533-position model. The record is from RNAcentral.